RNAcentral lists this long non-coding RNA (1188 nucleotides) under Homo sapiens (human). RNAcentral describes it as "HSALNT0385578". The record is from RNAcentral. Lineage: Eukaryota; Metazoa; Chordata; Mammalia; Primates; Hominidae.
GGCCGAGAGAGGCCACCGGCCCUUUGUUGAUCUGCGAGAAAUCAAACUACGAACACGACAAGCAUUAGCCUGCAGCUCGAGGAGACAAGGAAUAAAUCCAACUUGAUCAUAACAUCCAACUGUGUUGCCCAGGCUAGUCUCAAACUCCUGGAUUCAAGAGCCCCUCUCCUCUCAGCCUACGAAAGUGCUGGGAUUAAAGUCCUGAACUGACAGCCACAAGUGGCACCUGAACAGGGACUUGAACAAAGAAGGUCUGCUGGAGCAGAAAAAGUGAAACUGACCAGAUGAAUGAGAAACCCUGGGAUGAGUCUGCCUGCAGAGGAUAUAAGGAGAUGGAUAAACCGUGUGAGUGCCCUCAAGUUGUGUGCGACCAUGGAAUGGGAGACUGGAGGGAUACAUGGAUCCCAACUACAGGCCCAGCUCCUCCAGUAUGAGCCAUGAGCCAGUUGAAUCUGAAUGUGAAGAUGGAAUGAAGACCGACGAGAGUCACACUGACGUCAACCCUCAUAACAUGGGUCUGUAAAAUCAACUGGAACACCAACCAGCAAUUGAGAGCUGAACAGCCUGCAAUUACCUUUAUUCAAUUAAAUCAAAAGCAGAAAGGGGGAGAUGUUGGAGGCUGAAAGAAUGAGGGUCAUGACCAACUCAGUAUACCACUGGAGGCUAUGUGAGCAAACAGCAAACUGUUCUCAUGAAUACAGGAUAUUGGCAAGCUGACAGCUGCAUCUGCCACCAGAAGGAAUGCUGAGGACAGUCAUGCAUCAGGCACAGUGUUCCUUGUAGUUAUCUAUAGGAACAUCUGGACCCUGUUGUAUAAAGAAAGCAAUUAUUUGAGCCUGUGAUAAAUCAAGCAGCUGACUAAAACUGUUACCUCUUCCUCCCUGUUGAUUCUACCUAAUACAUGUGAAGGGCUGUAUAAGCUCAGGGCCCUUGUUCCCUAGAAGCAAGGAGCCCCCUGACCCCUUCUUUACAACAAAUCUUUUUGUUUUUGUCUUCAUUUCUGCAUUCAUCCUCCUUCGUUCAGUCCCGAACCGACAGCCACAUGAUCUGGCAAUCCCAUUUCUGGAUAUCUAUAUAAAUGUUCAAAGCAGGACCUGAAAGAAACAUUUCACACCCCUGUUUAUAAGAGAUUUAUUCUAAAAAUCCAAAAGGUAGAAGCUACUUGAAUGUCCCUUGACAGAUAAAUAA